CUCUAGAAUCAGCGUCGUUGUGCGGCCGUGUGUAUGAUCAGCGUGACUCAUACAAGUAGGAGGGAACCAAAGUCAAAAUAUUUAAUUGCAGCACAAUAUUCUCUUUAAAAUGAGUAUCAUCUUUUAUAGAACUGUACGUUGUUCUGGGCGGUAGCCGCAAUGGGGAAGUCUAGGACUAAAAGGUUUCGAAAGCUUAACUCGGAGCUGGGGAUUGUCCCAAAUGCUUUGUAUAUAACAUUUCUUCUAAUCUUCCCAACAGCCCUGUGAGGCAAGAGCCGUAUUAUAUUGUGAGGAAACCGAGGCCCACAGAGGUUAGGUAAAGGGCCCAAGGUCACCAGUAAGUGCAGGAGGGAGGAUUCGGACCUGGGACUUCUGACCUUGGAGCCAUGUGCCUGCCCCUGGGCUGCCCUGCCAGUUUGUCUGUCUGCCAGUCAGUCAGUCUGUCUGUAUGUUUUUCUGA
Long non-coding RNA from Phyllostomus discolor (pale spear-nosed bat), 460 nucleotides. RefSeq lists it as uncharacterized. NCBI's taxonomy places the organism in Eukaryota, Metazoa, Chordata, Mammalia, Chiroptera, Phyllostomidae. The transcript has 3 exons. The record is from RefSeq and is a predicted model, not a curated record.